This 433-nucleotide ribosomal RNA is filed under the name uncultured bacterium. Its description in RNAcentral is "partial 16S ribosomal RNA". It matches the Rfam family "Bacterial small subunit ribosomal RNA", at positions 29 to 507 of the family's 1533-position model. The record is from RNAcentral.
AACGAACGCUGGCGGCAUGCCUAACACAUGCAAGUCGAACGAGACCUUCGGGUUUAGUGUCGCACGGGUGCGUAACUCGUGGGAACCUGCCCUUAGGUUCGGAAUAACUCCCCUAAAGGGGUGCUAAUACCGGAUAAUCUCUUCGGACCAAAGAUUUAUCGCCUUUGGAUGGGCCCGCGUUGGAUUAGCUAGUUGGUAGUGUAAAAGCCUACCAAGGCGACGAUCCAUAGCUGGUCUGAGAGGAUGAUCAGCCACACUGGGACUGAGACACGGCCCAGACUCGUACGGGAGGCAGCAGUGGGGAAUAUUGGACGAUGGGCGAAAGCCUGAUCCAGCAAUGCCGCGUGAGUGAUGAAGGCCUUAGGGUUGUAAAGCUCUUUUACCCGGGAUGAUAAUGACAGUACCGGGAGAAUAAGCUCCGGCUAACUCCGUG